This 253-nucleotide ribosomal RNA is filed under the name uncultured bacterium. RNAcentral's name for it is "partial 16S ribosomal RNA". It matches the Rfam family "Bacterial small subunit ribosomal RNA", at positions 524 to 776 of the family's 1533-position model. The record is from RNAcentral.
UACAGAGGUCUCAAGCGUUGUUCGGAUUCAUUGGGCGUAAAGGGUGCGUAGGUGGCGCGGUAAGUCGGGUGUGAAAUUUCGGAGCUUAACUCCGAAACUGCAUUCGAUACUGCCGUGCUUGAGGACUGGAGAGGAGACUGGAAUUUACGGUGUAGCAGUGAAAUGCGUAGAGAUCGUAAGGAAGACCAGUGGCGAAGGCGGGUCUCUGGGCCGUACCUGACGCUGAGGAGCGAAAGCAUGGGGAGCAAACAGG